UACGUAGGGUGCAAGCGUUGUCCGGAAUUAUUGGGCGUAAAGGGCUCGUAGGCGGUCCAUCGCGUCGGGAGUGAAAAGCUGGGGCUUAACCCCAGUCCUGCUUCCGAUACGGGUGGACUAGAGGUAGGUAGGGGAGAACGGAAUUCCUGGUGUAGCGGUGAAAUGCGUAGAUAUCUGGAGGAACACCGGUGGCGAAGGCGGCAUCCUGGACCGGUAUUGACGCUGAGGCGCGAAAGCCAGGGGAGCAAACGGG
This 253-nucleotide ribosomal RNA is filed under the name uncultured bacterium. RNAcentral's name for it is "partial 16S ribosomal RNA". It matches the Rfam family "Bacterial small subunit ribosomal RNA", at positions 524 to 776 of the family's 1533-position model. The record is from RNAcentral.